This 691-nucleotide ribosomal RNA is filed under the name uncultured Stenotrophomonas bacterium. RNAcentral's name for it is "bacterial SSU rRNA". It matches the Rfam family "Bacterial small subunit ribosomal RNA", at positions 94 to 781 of the family's 1533-position model. The record is from RNAcentral. Lineage: Bacteria; Pseudomonadati; Pseudomonadota; Gammaproteobacteria; Lysobacterales; Lysobacteraceae.
AGUGGCGGACGGGUGAGGAAUACAUCGGAAUCUACUUUUUCGUGGGGGAUAACGUAGGGAAACUUACGCUAAUACCGCAUACGACCUACGGGUGAAAGCAGGGGAUCUUCGGACCUUGCGCGAUUGAAUGAGCCGAUGUCGGAUUAGCUAGUUGGCGGGGUAAAGGCCCACCAAGGCGACGAUCCGUAGCUGGUCUGAGAGGAUGAUCAGCCACACUGGAACUGAGACACGGUCCAGACUCCUACGGGAGGCAGCAGUGGGGAAUAUUGGACAAUGGGCGCAAGCCUGAUCCAGCCAUACCGCGUGGGUGAAGAAGGCCUUCGGGUUGUAAAGCCCUUUUGUUGGGAAAGAAAUCCAGCUGGUUAAUACCCGGUUGGGAUGACGGUACCCAAAGAAUAAGCACCGGCUAACUUCGUGCCAGCAGCCGCGGUAAUACGAAGGGUGCAAGCGUUACUCGGAAUUACUGGGCGUAAAGCGUGCGUAGGUGGUCGUUUAAGUCCGUUGUGAAAGCCCUGGGCUCAACCUGGGAACUGCAGUGGAUACUGGGCGACUAGAGUGUGGUAGAGGGUAGCGGAAUUCCUGGUGUAGCAGUGAAAUGCGUAGAGAUCAGGAGGAACAUCCAUGGCGAAGGCAGCUACCUGGACCAACACUGACACUGAGGCACGAAAGCGUGGGGAGCAAACAGGAUUAG